GACGGGUGAGUAAUGUCUGGGAAACUGCCUGAUGGAGGGGGAUAACUACUGGAAACGGUAGCUAAUACCGCAUAACGUCGCAAGACCAAAGAGGGGGACCUUCGGGCCUCUUGCCAUCGGAUGUGCCCAGAUGGGAUUAGCUAGUAGGUGGGGUAACGGCUCACCUAGGCGACGAUCCCUAGCUGGUCUGAGAGGAUGACCAGCCACACUGGAACUGAGACACGGUCCAGACUCCUACGGGAGGCAGCAGUGGGGAAUAUUGCACAAUGGGCGCAAGCCUGAUGCAGCCAUGCCGCGUGUAUGAAGAAGGCCUUCGGGUUGUAAAGUACUUUCAGCGGGGAGGAAGGGAGUAAAGUUAAUACCUUUGCUCAUUGACGUUACCCGCAGAAGAAGCACCGGCUAACUCCGUGCCAGCAGCCGCGGUAAUACGGAGGGUGCAAGCGUUAAUCGGAAUUACUGGGCGUAAAGCGC
RNAcentral lists this ribosomal RNA (471 nucleotides) under Escherichia coli. Its description in RNAcentral is "bacterial SSU rRNA". It matches the Rfam family "Bacterial small subunit ribosomal RNA", at positions 100 to 568 of the family's 1533-position model. Lineage: Bacteria; Pseudomonadati; Pseudomonadota; Gammaproteobacteria; Enterobacterales; Enterobacteriaceae. The record is from RNAcentral.